UACGGGGGGGGCAAGCGUUGUUCGGAAUUACUGGGCGUAAAGGGCGCGUAGGCGGCCUGUUAAGUCGGAUGUGAAAUCCCUCGGCUCAACCGAGGAACUGCAUCCGAUACUGGCGGGCUGGAAUCCGGGAGAGGGAUGUGGAAUUCCAGGUGUAGCGGUGAAAUGCGUAGAUAUCUGGAGGAAUACCGGUGGCGAAGGCGGCAUCCUGGACCGACAUUGACGCUGAGGAGCGAAAGCUAGGGGAGCAAACGGG
This 253-nucleotide ribosomal RNA is filed under the name uncultured bacterium. RNAcentral describes it as "partial 16S ribosomal RNA". It matches the Rfam family "Bacterial small subunit ribosomal RNA", at positions 524 to 776 of the family's 1533-position model. The record is from RNAcentral.